GAUGAACGCUGGCGGCGUGCCUAAUACAUGCAAGUCGAGCGAACAGACGAGGAGCUUGCUCCUUCGACGUUAGCGGCGGACGGGUGAGUAACACGUAGGUAACCUACCUAUAAGACUGGGAUAACUUCGGGAAACCGGAUCUAAUACCGGAUAAUAUUUCGAACCGCGUGGUUCGAUAGUGAAAGAUGGCUUUGCUAUCACUUCUAGCUGGAUCUCCGCCGUAUUAGGUAGUUGUUAAGGUAACGGCUUACCAAGGCGACGAUACGUAGCCGACCUGAGAGGGUGAUAGGCCACACUGGAACUGAGACACGGUCCAGAGUACUACGGGAGGCAGCAGUAGGGAAUGUGACGCAAUGGGCGAAAGCCUGACGGAGCAAGGCCGAGUGAGUGAUGAAGGUCUUCGGAUCGUAAAACCCUGUUAUUAGGGAAGAACAGACGUGUAAGUAACUGUGCACGUAGUGACGGUACCUAAUCAGAAAGCAACGGCUAACUACGUG
This 497-nucleotide ribosomal RNA is filed under the name uncultured bacterium. RNAcentral describes it as "partial 16S ribosomal RNA". It matches the Rfam family "Bacterial small subunit ribosomal RNA", at positions 28 to 507 of the family's 1533-position model. The record is from RNAcentral.